This 446-nucleotide ribosomal RNA is filed under the name uncultured Desulfobulbus sp. Its description in RNAcentral is "bacterial SSU rRNA". It matches the Rfam family "Bacterial small subunit ribosomal RNA", at positions 943 to 1382 of the family's 1533-position model. The record is from RNAcentral. Lineage: Bacteria; Pseudomonadati; Thermodesulfobacteriota; Desulfobulbia; Desulfobulbales; Desulfobulbaceae.
GGUUUAAUUCGAUGCAACGCGAAGAACCUUACCUGGUCUUGACAUCCCGGAGACCCUUAGGAAACUAGGGGGUGGCUUCCAUCUGGAAGAAUCUGGAGACAGGUGCUGCAUGGCUGUCGUCAGCUCGUGUCGUGAGAUGUUGGGUUAAGUCCCGCAACGAGCGCAACCCUUGCCUUUAGUUGCCAGCAGUUCGGCUGGGCACUCUAAAGGGACUGCCGGUGUUAAACCGGAGGAAGGUGGGGAUGACGUCAAGUCCUCAUGGCCUUUAUGACCAGGGCUACACACGUACUACAAUGGCCGAUACAAAGGGCAGCGACACUGCGAGGUGAAGCCAAUCCCGUAAAAUCGGUCUCAGUCCGGAUUGGAGUCUGCAACUCGACUCCAUGAAGUUGGAAUCGCUAGUAAUCGUGGAUCAGCAUGCCACGGUGAAUACGUUCCCGGGCCUU